AUACGGAGGGUGCAAGCGUUGUCCGGAUUUAUUGGGUUUAAAGGGUGCGUAGGUGGUUUUCUAAGUCUGGUUUGAAAGCUGGUCGCUUAACGAUCAGAUGUGGCUGGAAACUGGAGGACUUGAAUGCGUUGGCGGUAGCCGGAAUGGGUCAUGUAGCGGUGAAAUGCAUAGAUAUGACCCGGAACACCGAUUGCGAAGGCAGGCUACUACGACGUGAUUGACACUGAGGCACGAGAGCAUGGGUAGCGAACAGGAUUAGAUACCCUGGUAGUCCAUGCCGUAAACGAUGAUUACUGGCUGUUUGCCCGAAGGGGUGAGUGGCUGAGCGAAAGCGUUAAGUAAUCCACCUGGGGAGUACGCUGGCAACAGUGAA
This 373-nucleotide ribosomal RNA is filed under the name uncultured bacterium. RNAcentral describes it as "bacterial SSU rRNA". It matches the Rfam family "Bacterial small subunit ribosomal RNA", at positions 523 to 898 of the family's 1533-position model. The record is from RNAcentral.